GGCUAACAGACAGGUUAGUAUGAGUUUUCUUUUAUGCCCCUGUUUAACUAAAUUUAUGCCUAAUCUCAAUAUUUGUGUCUGUGUGCUUUUUAAUCAUAUGAUAUGAUUUUUCUCUAACUGUUUAAAAAUAAUUGCAUCCUAUCUAGCAGGUUUUAAUAUCGACCUUCCAGCCGAGAUGUGAUUAUAUUAUCGGAGGGUGUCGAAUUCAGUGGCCAUAUUCUUAUUGCUUCCUUCAGAUCUUGUAUUUUCCAAGAACCUGCCUGUGGUGAGAUCAAUCGCUGAUGGUUUCAGUCUGUGCAUCUUCACGGCUGAGAACAUGAAAAACUGAGCACUCGAGCUACCUUUGAAGGAGAAAGGCUCCGAGCACGGUUAAGCCAAAAUGGCAAUAUCCAGGUGCAGGUUGGGUUAAGAUGAAUACUGAUGGAGCCACUG
This 432-nucleotide long non-coding RNA is filed under the name Triticum aestivum (bread wheat). RNAcentral's name for it is "long non-coding RNA (TAES_LNC017023)". Lineage: Eukaryota; Viridiplantae; Streptophyta; Magnoliopsida; Poales; Poaceae. The record is from RNAcentral.